AAAACCUAACUUUUAUCGUUUUUCUUUAUCUUUUUAUUUUACGUUUAAACAAUAUUGGUAUUAAUUGCCUCGCCGAAAAAGAA
Molecule: small RNA, 83 nt
Filed under: Arabidopsis thaliana (thale cress)
Lineage: Eukaryota; Viridiplantae; Streptophyta; Magnoliopsida; Brassicales; Brassicaceae
Description: ATSL196240
Source: RNAcentral